This 53-nucleotide transfer RNA is filed under the name Cercopithecus diana (Diana monkey). RNAcentral's name for it is "tRNA-Ser". Lineage: Eukaryota; Metazoa; Chordata; Mammalia; Primates; Cercopithecidae. The record is from RNAcentral.
GAGAAAACUCGCAAGGAUUGCUAACCCGUGCCUCCAUACCUAAAACUAUGGCU